Molecule: ribosomal RNA, 1387 nt
Filed under: uncultured bacterium
Lineage: Bacteria
Description: bacterial SSU rRNA
Rfam family: Bacterial small subunit ribosomal RNA
Source: RNAcentral
AGAGUUUGAUCCUGGCUCAGGAUGAACGCUAGCGGCAGGCUUAACACAUGCAAGUCGAGGGGCAGCGAGGGUAGCAAUACCUGUCGGCGACCGGCGGAAGGGUGCGUAACGCGUGAGCAACAUUCCCGUAUCUGGGAGAUAACCGGUGGAAACGCCGACUAAUAUCCCAUAACAACAUUUGCGGCAUCAAGAGUGUUUGAAAGAUACGUCGGAUACGGAUUGGCUCGCGUGACAUUAGCUAGUUGGUGAGGUAACAGCCCACCAAGGCGAGGAUGCGUAGCCGAUCUGAGAGGAUGAACGGCCACACUGGAACUGAGACACGGUCCAGACUCCUACGGGAGGCAGCAGUAGGGAGUUUUCGGCAAUGGGGGCAACCCUGACCGAGCAACGCCGCGUGAAUGAUGAAGGUCUUCGGAUUGUAAAGUUCUGUUAUAAGGGAAAAAUGAUAGGGUGAGGAAAUGCUCUCUAUUUGAUGGUACCUUAUUAGAAAGCCACGGCUAACUACGUGCCAGCAGCCGCGGUAAUACGUAGGUGGCAAGCGUUAUCCGGAAUUAUUGGGCGUAAAGAGUGAGCAGGCGGCAUGGUAAGUUUGGAGUGAAAGCGUGGGGCUUAACCCCAUACAGCUUCGAAAACUGCCAGGCUAGAGUACGGGAGAGGUAAACGGAACUCCAUGUGUAGCGGUGAAAUGCGUAGAUAUAUGGAAGAACACCAGUGGCGAAGGCGGUUUACUAGCUCGAUACUGACGCUCAGUCACGAAAGCGUGGGGAGCAAAUAGGAUUAGAUACCCUAGUAGUCCACGCCGUAAACGAUGACAACUAAAUAUUGCAGUGAUGCAGUGUUGAAGCUAACGCAUUAAGUUGUCCGCCUGGGGAGUACGGUCGCAAGACUGAAACUUAAAGGAAUUGACGGGGACCCGCACAAGCAGUGGAGCAUGUGGUUUAAUUCGAUGCUACGCGAAGAACCUUACCAGGACUUGACAUGGAUUCAAAUGUUCUAGAGAUAGAAAGAUAGUUAUGGAUCACACAGGUGGUGCAUGGUUGUCGUCAGCUCGUGUCGUGAGAUGUUGGGUUAAGUCCCGCAACGAGCGCAACCCUUGUCCUUAGUUACCAUCAUUUAGUUGGGGACUCUAAGGAGACUGCCGAUGUAAAUCGGAGGAAGGUGGGGAUGACGUCAAAUCAUCAUGCCCUUUAUGUCCUGGGCGACACACGUGCUACAAUGGCCGGUACAAAGAGACGCGAAACCGCGAGGCGGAGCAAAUCUCACAAAGCCGGUCUCAGUUCAGAUUGAAGUCUGCAACUCGACUUCAUGAAGUCGGAAUUGCUAGUAAUCGCAGAUCAGCCAUGCUGCGGUGAAUACGUUCCCGGGUCUUGCACACACCGCCGGUCAA